UCCGGUGAGGAACUAAAGUCAGACGCUUCAGUUCCGUGUGUCCGCGGAAGGAGGCCUCAGUUCCAAUUCUGCCCAACCUUGAUGAACUGUUGCAGUGGUGCAAAUUGGACUGAAUCCAAAAAGAAUGGAAUGCUGGAAUCAAAUACUGGACUUAACGGGUCCAAAAUGCUAAUGGAAAAAGCAGAGCCAAGACAUCAGCUGCAGGAACAAAACAUCAUAAAUCAUCUAUGGAAGCCCUAUCUUCAUCAUCACUGUGAAGCACUUGACAUCCUGGGGUGGAAGGUCAGUGUUUCCUAGAUCAUAUUCAGAAGGCGAAAAAUAUGUAGACAUAUCAAAGACAGACAAUCAUCCACAUAUUGAUGUUCACAAAUAAUAACUUUUUUAGAUUACCCACAAAAACAGUAAACAAUAAUGACACACUGGUGCUUAACGAUUUAUUUUUCUUGUUGAAAAUAAGUGUUGAUGAGACUGAACCACUAACUGAUGCAACUGUCACUAUAAUGUUCAGCAUACAAGGCAUUGGUAUCGAUUUGUAAAGUGUAAAGUGUCUGCACAUUUCAACAAUGAUUGACUAACGUCGUCUCUUUGGGUGAGAUCGUACUCCAGGUCGGCGUGAGAGUACGACUUCAUGCACACAUCAUCCACAUUUGGGAUAGUCUGAAUGAAUCUCCCCAAAAGGCGCAUUUUUUUUGUUGUUGUUGUAGACAUUCGUUCAUCUAUGCAUUCAUUCAUAGUUAGGCAGGCCGGCUGCUGGGCCGACUUCUGGUGUGACACCUUCACAGUGGUGCUGCUUGACAUCCGUGUAGAAACCUGGUGUUUGGUCUUGGCGCUGUCAAGAAGUCACAAGAGUGCAAAAGGACAACACUGGGCGAUACGUUUACGGCCAUCUUUUUUUUUUUUUGGCUUCCCAAAUUGAUGUAGCGCUCUUAUCCUCUGUGUUGAUGGCUUUUGUUUGGCACAGUUCUGCCCGUGGAAACCCCCUGAAAUUGGCUGUGGUACCAGGAGGGGCUUGAUGGAUGGGGGACUUCCAAAGAAAAUCCACCCUGUGUCGAAGGAAUUUUUACGUUACCCUUAUUUGUCUGCUUUGCUGGAUGCUUUCCUACAUUUCCCAGCAUGCCUUGAUUUUCUAACCUUUUAAGUCGUCCCAUCCAUAAGCCCUCUGCCGAUAUAGACUGCUACUGCACGCUACAGGCGGGACAGCACACCUCUCUGCGGUCCGGCAGUGGGCAAAAGUCCAUCUGCCGUACGAUCUCGGUGAACAGCUCAUCCACCAUGGUCUUGCUCUUGGCAGAGGUCUCCAUGAAGGGGCAGCCCCAGUCCUCCGCCAGUGCUUGGCCCUCGC
Doryrhamphus excisus (bluestripe pipefish) is the source of this 1342-nucleotide non-coding RNA. The record is from RefSeq and is a predicted model, not a curated record. NCBI's taxonomy places the organism in Eukaryota, Metazoa, Chordata, Actinopteri, Syngnathiformes, Syngnathidae.